This 152-nucleotide non-coding RNA is filed under the name uncultured Geminigera. The record is from RNAcentral. Lineage: Eukaryota; Cryptophyceae; Pyrenomonadales; Geminigeraceae.
CAACUUCAAAAUUAAAACCACCCACUGAAAACCACCACCAAAAGUCACCAAAAUUACACACUGAAAACCACCCACCAAUCAUAUGCACCAAAACUCCGUUGUCGAUGUAACUUUCUUUCUUUCUUUCUUUCUUUUCUUUUCUCCCUCUCCCG